Molecule: ribosomal RNA, 439 nt
Filed under: uncultured bacterium
Lineage: Bacteria
Description: partial 16S ribosomal RNA
Rfam family: Bacterial small subunit ribosomal RNA
Source: RNAcentral
CUACGGGGUGCAGCAGUGGGGAAUCUUAGACAAUGGGGGAAACCCUGAUCUAGCCAUGCCGCGUGAGCGACGACGGCCCUAGGGUUGUAAAGCUCUUUCAGCAGGGAAGAUAAUGACGGUACCUGCAGAAGAAGUCCCGGCUAACUCCGUGCCAGCAGCCGCGGUAAUACGGAGGGGACUAGCGUUGUUCGGGAUUACUGGGCGUAAAGCGCGCGUAGGCGGAUUGUUAAGUCGGGGGUGAAAUCCCGGGGCUCAACCCCGGAACUGCCCUCGAUACUGGCAGUCUUGAGUUCGAGAGAGGUGAGUGGAAUUCCGAGUGUAGAGGUGAAAUUCGUAGAUAUUCGGAGGAACACCAGUGGCGAAGGCGGCUCACUGGCUCGAUACUGACGCUGAGGUGCGAAAGCGUGGGGAGCAAACAGGAUUAGAUACCCCAGUAGUC